AAGAAAGCAUGCAAGAGCUGCUAACUCAUGCUCCCGUAUUUAAACAUACGGCUUUCUUA
RNAcentral lists this transfer RNA (59 nucleotides) under Myodes glareolus (Bank vole). RNAcentral describes it as "tRNA-Ser". The record is from RNAcentral. Lineage: Eukaryota; Metazoa; Chordata; Mammalia; Rodentia; Cricetidae.